GCAGCCACUCAUUCAAAGAGUGCGUAAUAGCUCACUGGUCGAGUGAUCCUGCGCCGAAGAUUUCCGGGGCUAAAACUUACUACCGAAGCUACGGCAUCAGUAAUGAUGGGUAGGGGAGCUUCCCAUACGGGUUGAAGCAUGACCGUAAGGACAUGUGGACAGUAUGGGAGUGAGAAUGUUGGCAUGAGUAGCGAGAUGUGGGUGAGAAUCCCACAGGCCGUAAACCCAAGGUUUCCAGGGGAAGGUUCGUCCGCCCUGGGUUAGUCGGGACCUAAGCUGAGGCCGAAAGGCGUAGGUGAUGGACAACAGGUUGAUAUUCCUGUACUACCGAUAACCGUUUGAGAGAAGGGAUGACACAGUAGGAUAAGCUAAGCACACUGUUGGUUAUGGGUGCCCAAGCCUUGAGGCAGUCAAAGGAGGCAAAUCCGCUUUGAUAAUGCUGGGAAGUGAUGGGGAGCGAAAUUUAGUAGCGAAGUAGCUGAUUUCACACUGUCAAGAAAAGUCUCUAUCGAGGUUAAAGGUACCCGUACCGCCAACCGACACAGGGGGGUGAGGAGAGUAUCCUAAGGCCAGCGAGAGAUCUGUUGUUAAGGAACUCGGCAAAAUGACCCCGUAACUUAGGGAUAAGGGGUGCCACCAUCAGGUGGCCGCAGAGAAUAGGCCCAAGCGACUGUUUACCAAAAACAUAGGUUUCUGCUAAGUCGCAAGACGAUGUAUAGGAGCUGACGCCUGCCCGGUGCUGGAAGGUUAAGGGGAUCUGUUAGAGCAA
This 769-nucleotide ribosomal RNA is filed under the name Clostridioides difficile. RNAcentral's name for it is "bacterial LSU rRNA". It matches the Rfam family "Bacterial large subunit ribosomal RNA", at positions 1112 to 1898 of the family's 2925-position model. The record is from RNAcentral. Lineage: Bacteria; Bacillati; Bacillota; Clostridia; Peptostreptococcales; Peptostreptococcaceae.